CAUGCAAGUCGAGGGGCAGCAUGAAGUAGCAAUACUUUGAUGGCGACCGGCAAACGGGUGCGGAACACGUACACAACCUUCCUUUAAGUGGGGAAUAGCCCAGAGAAAUUUGGAUUAAUACCCCGAUAACAUUGCGAUGUGGCAUCACAUUGCAAUUAUAGUUUCGGCGCUUAAAGAUGGGUGUGCGUAUGAUUAGAUAGUUGGCGAGGUAACGGCUCACCAAGUCUACGAUCAUUAGCUGAUGUGAGAGCAUGAUCAGCCACACGGGCACUGAGACACGGGCCCGACUCCUACGGGAGGCAGCAGUAAGGAAUAUUGGUCAAUGGACGCAAGUCUGAACCAGCCAUGCCGCGUGAAGGAUUAAGGUCCUCUGGAUUGUAAACUUCUUUUAUAUGGGACGAAAAAAGGUCUUUCUAGACCCCUUGACGGUACCAUAUGAAUAAGCACCGGCUAACUCCGUGCCAGCAGCCGCGGUAAUACGGAGGGUGCAAGCGUUAUCCGGAUUCACUGGGUUUAAAGGGUGCGUAGGCGGGUAGGUAAGUCAGUGGUGAAAUCCUGGAGCUCAACUCCAGAACUGCCAUUGAUACUAUUUAUCUUGAAUAUUGUGGAGGUAAGCGGAAUAUGUCAUGUAGCGGUGAAAUGCUUAGAUAUGACAUAGAACACCCAUUGCGAAGGCAGCUUACUACGCAUAUAUUGACGCUGAGGCACGAAAGCGUGGGGAUCAAACAGGAUUAGAUACCCUGGUAGUCCACGCCCUAAAACGAUGGAUACUCGACAUACGCGAUACACUGUGUGUGUCUGAGCGAAAGCAUUAAAUUAUCCCACCUGGGAAGUACGUCCGC
RNAcentral lists this ribosomal RNA (842 nucleotides) under uncultured Bacteroidota bacterium. RNAcentral describes it as "bacterial SSU rRNA". It matches the Rfam family "Bacterial small subunit ribosomal RNA", at positions 54 to 889 of the family's 1533-position model. The record is from RNAcentral. Lineage: Bacteria; Pseudomonadati; Bacteroidota.